CACACACACAGGUAACCAGAGACCCAUCUACCUGUUCCACAAGGGCUCCGCCCACAGGAAGUGACAUCACUGAUGGAUCUGCUUGGACAUCAGAGCCUCAGGAGGAAGUGAUGUCAGACUGAACUGAGCAUGCUCAGUGGGACCUGUUGGAGCGGUCAGGUGACCUCACUGUAAUUGGACAGGAACAGCAGACAGGAAGUGACUGAUCUUUUCAAAAUAAAACCUGAUUCUUCUUGGUCUUUUUCAUAAUAAAGUGAGUUGAGCUGC
Poecilia reticulata (guppy) is the source of this 267-nucleotide non-coding RNA. NCBI's taxonomy places the organism in Eukaryota, Metazoa, Chordata, Actinopteri, Cyprinodontiformes, Poeciliidae. The record is from RefSeq and is a predicted model, not a curated record.